GUGGGGAAUAUUGGACAAUGGGCGAAAGCCUGAUCCAGCCAUGCCGCGUGUGUGAAGAAGGUCUUCGGAUUGUAAAGCACUUUAAGUUGGGAGGAAGGGCAGUAAGUUAAUACCUUGCUGUUUUGACGUUACCGACAGAAUAAGCACCGGCUAACUUCGUGCCAGCAGCCGCGGUAAUACGAAGGGUGCAAGAGUUAAUCGGAAUUACUGGGCGUAAAGCGCGCGUAGGUGGUUUUGUAAGUUGGAGGUGAAAUCCCCGGGCUCAACCUGGGAACUGCCUCCAAAACUGCAUGACUAGAGUACGGUAGAGGGUAGUGGAAUUUCCUGUGUAGCGGUGAAAUGCGUAGAUAUAGGAAGGAACACCAGUGGCGAAGGCGACUACCUGGACUGAUACUGACACUGAGGUGCGAAAGCGUGGGGAGCAAACAGGAUUAGAUACCCGUGUAGUCC
RNAcentral lists this ribosomal RNA (450 nucleotides) under uncultured bacterium. Its description in RNAcentral is "partial 16S ribosomal RNA". It matches the Rfam family "Bacterial small subunit ribosomal RNA", at positions 354 to 796 of the family's 1533-position model. The record is from RNAcentral.